UUAAAUUCUGCGAAAGGAAGAGUAAGAUUUAAGUUAUGUCUAAGCGAGUUGGGGACGGUGUAAGCCUAAUACAUAAAUAUAUCUGAAAAGAGACCUUGAGAAUCUAUUUGAAAUGAGUAAAAUUAGACGUAUUUCCUACGUUAUAGGAAUAGAGUGAGUAUAUAACUUUUAGUAUAUAUACUAAUUAGAGUGGCAACACGGGAUUAAGAUCUCGUCUCUUUU
RNAcentral lists this non-coding RNA (222 nucleotides) under Gottschalkia acidurici. RNAcentral's name for it is "Clostridium acidurici T-box sequence". It matches the Rfam family "T-box leader". From Rfam's summary of the family: Uncharged tRNA acts as the effector for transcription antitermination of genes in the T-box leader family. T-boxes are found upstream of many aminoacyl-tRNA synthetase genes and some amino acid biosynthetic genes usually in Gram-positive bacteria. The record is from RNAcentral. Lineage: Bacteria; Bacillati; Bacillota; Tissierellia; Tissierellales; Gottschalkiaceae.